RNAcentral lists this ribosomal RNA (484 nucleotides) under uncultured bacterium. RNAcentral describes it as "partial 16S ribosomal RNA". It matches the Rfam family "Bacterial small subunit ribosomal RNA", at positions 29 to 507 of the family's 1533-position model. The record is from RNAcentral.
AUUGAACGCUGGCGGCAUGCUUUACACAUGCAAGUCGAACGGCAGCGCGGGCUUCGGCCUGGCGGCGCGUGGCGAACGGGUGAGUAAUACAUCGGAACGUGCCCAGUCGUGGGGGAUAGCUCGGCGAAAGCCGGCUUAAUACCGCAUACGACCUGAGGGUGAAAGCGGGGGAUCUUCGGACCUCGCGCUAUUGGAGCGGCCGAUGGCAGAUUAGCUAGUUGGUGGGGUAAAGGCCUACCAAGGCGACGAUCUGUAGCUGGUCUGAGAGGACGACCAGCCACACUGGAACUGAGACACGGCCCAGACUCCUACGGGAGGCAGCAGUGGGGAAUUUUGGACAAUGGGCGAAAGCCUGAUCCAGCAAUGCCGCGUGUGUGAUGAAGGCCUUCGGGUUGUAAAGCACUUUUGGCGGGAACGAAAAGGACUGUGCCAAUACCACGGUUCGAUGACGGUACCCGCAGAAUAAGCACCGGCUAACUACGUG